This is an RNA transcript of Panicum hallii, 1890 nucleotides long. It is a transcript of the gene named post-GPI attachment to proteins factor 3-like, with no coding region annotated. The record is from RefSeq and is a predicted model, not a curated record. The transcript is spliced from 6 exons. Lineage: Eukaryota; Viridiplantae; Streptophyta; Magnoliopsida; Poales; Poaceae.
UCCUUAACGUCUUAACGGGUCGGAUCCCGAAAUCCCGUCUUCCCCAGCUCCGGCGAUCUCCACCACCACUGCAGCCGCCUUCCAUUUCCACCGGUCCGCCGAGCGUCUCUCUCCGUCUCCGCACUCCACGAUCUGCGCCAACCUUCCCCAAUUCCGGAGGUGACCGGCGCUUAUCUUCGGGCGCCGCUGCGGGAUCCCACCUGGGCGCAUCCGCCGCCAUGGGUGGAAGCGCCUGGGUGGUUCAGUUGGCUUCCCUUCUCGCGCUUGGUUUGGUGCUCGGCUCCGUCGAGGCCAGCCUCGGGGAUAUUGAUCCGCGGUACAGAACCUGUGUGAGGGAGUGCCAAACUACAGGGGUCAUUGGGGAGAAUAUCAUCAGCCACUGCCAGUCCAAAGAUAAUGACACAUCUGUUGCAGGUUCUUGGUACAACCAGGAGCAAAUUUACAUGCAGUGGAAACAACUGAAUUGUAGGACAGAUUGUCGCUACUUCUGCAUGAUGUGGAGAGAAGGAGAACGGCAAUCUCUUGGUCUGAGUCCUGUUAAAUAUCAUGGAAAGUGGCCAUUCUUACGUGUUUCUGUGUUCCAGGAACCUCUUUCAGCUGCACUAUCUGCUGUGAACCUAUUUAUGCACUUCAUUGGCUGGCUUUCAUUUUUCCUUCUAGUGAAUUACAAAUUGCCUCUUAGACCCCAGACCAAGAGAACUUACUAUGAAUAUACUAGCUUAUGGUAUGUCUAUGCAAUCUUAUCAAUUAAUGCAUGGCUCUGGAGCUCUAUCUUCCAUACUAGAGAUAUCGACUUGACUGAGAAAUUGGACUACUCUUCAGCUGUCGCCCUGCUUGGGUACUCUUUAAUCCUUUCAUUGCUAAGGACUUUCAGUGUAAAAGAUGAGGCUACCAGGGUGAUGUUUGCAGCCCCAAUUCUGGCAUUUGUUACAACGCACAUCUUGUAUCUUAACUUUUAUGAGCUUGACUAUGGAUGGAACAUGAAAGUUUGUGUGGUGAUGGCUGUAGUUCAACUUCUGACAUGGGCAAUUUGGGCUGGUGUAACCCAACAUCCAUCACGACUCAAGCUAUGGACAGUUAUUUUUGGAGGAGCACUAGCUAUGCUUCUUGAACUCUACGACUUCCCUCCAUACAUGGGCUAUGCGGAUGCUCACUCGCUGUGGCAUGCAAGCACCAUUCCACUCACAUAUCUAUGGUGGAGCUUUAUUAAGGAUGACGCCGAAUUCCGAACCUCAACUCUCAUGAAGAAGGCAAAGUAAGCAGAAGGACCACAGAUUGUUAACGUUGGAUCUGAGAGGAUCAGAUUUCAUGACCCACUUAAGAAACAUUACGACACUUGUGCUGUCAGACAUCACAAACCUUCCGUAUAUUUGGCCCCUUGAUGCUCCUGCCGUCAAUCCGAAAAGGGAUCCAUGUUCAUGCUCUCACGAUUUUGGUCCACAAACUCAUCAUCUUCCUUUGGGCACAUAUCCGGCCCUUGAGAUCUGUCUGUUGAUUGCUGAACGAAAAUUCUGCAGUUGAAUUCGCAUCUUAUCUUUUUGAUCUGGUGGGGCUUACAAGAUUUUUUUGGUCAUUGCCAAUUCAGUUUUGCAAAAUCACACUGAACACCAUUGGUGUGUUUCCUAUGUGCAACCGUUGUUUGAAACGUAAGGGUACAGUGCCCUAGAAGCACCUUUCGAGCUCCUAGUCGAUCCUGUCGCUUUCCGUUGGAUCUUGACGUCCUGCACGCGCACUAGGAGCAUGUCUGGUCGGAGGCACGAAUGGGGAUAGUGGCAAGAAAGUUUCGCAACUUGGAAUUUUUAGAAGGUGGGCGAGUGAUAUCUGUCACUGAGGACUUGGAGACAUUUACAGAUCAGUUUACUGGGAAUAUCAUGCAAAAUUUUCUCGGAA